This 757-nucleotide ribosomal RNA is filed under the name Pseudoalteromonas sp. Its description in RNAcentral is "bacterial SSU rRNA". It matches the Rfam family "Bacterial small subunit ribosomal RNA", at positions 39 to 788 of the family's 1533-position model. The record is from RNAcentral. Lineage: Bacteria; Pseudomonadati; Pseudomonadota; Gammaproteobacteria; Alteromonadales; Pseudoalteromonadaceae.
GGGAAUGGCGCAGCUACCAUGCAGUCGAGCGGUAACAGAGAGUAGCUUGCUACUCUGCUGACGAGCGGCGGACGGGUGAGUAAUGCUUGGGAAUGUACCUUAUGGUGGGGGACAACAGUUGGAAACGACUGCUAAUACCGCAUAAUGUCUUCGGACCAAAGCGGGGGACCUUCGGGCCUCGCGCCAUAAGAUCAGCCCAAGUGGGAUUAGCUAGUUGGUGAGGUAAUGGCUCACCAAGGCGACGAUCCCUAGCUGGUUUGAGAGGAUGAUCAGCCACACUGGGACUGAGACACGGCCCAGACUCCUACGGGAGGCAGCAGUGGGGAAUAUUGCACAAUGGGCGCAAGCCUGAUGCAGCCAUGCCGCGUGUGUGAAGAAGGCCUUCGGGUUGUAAAGCACUUUCAGUAAGGAGGAAAGGUUGGAUGUUAAUAGCAUUCAGCUGUGACGUUACUUACAGAAGAAGCACCGGCUAACUCCGUGCCAGCAGCCGCGGUAAUACGGAGGGUGCGAGCGUUAAUCGGAAUUACUGGGCGUAAAGCGUACGCAGGCGGUUUGUUAAGCGAGAUGUGAAAGCCCCGGGCUCAACCUGGGAACUGCAUUUCGAACUGGCAAACUAGAGUGUGAUAGAGGGUGGUAGAAUUUCAGGUGUAGCGGUGAAAUGCGUAGAGAUCUGAAGGAAUACCGAUGGCGAAGGCAGCCACCUGGGUCAACACUGACGCUCAUGUACGAAAGCGUGGGGGAGCAAACAGGAUACCCC